UCGGCUUAGAGUUUGAUCAUGGCUCAGAUUGAACGCUGGCGGCAGGCUUAACACAUGCAAGUCGAACGGUAGAAGAGCUUGCUCUUGACGAGUGGCGGACGGGUGAGUAAUGUAUGGGGAUCUGCCAAAUGGAAGGGGACAACAGUUGGAAACGACUGCUAAUACCGUAUAAUGUCGCGAGACCAAAGUGUUUCGACAUGCCAUUUGAUGAACCCAUAUGGGAUUAGCUAGUAGGUAGGGUAAAGGCCUACCCAGGCGACGAUCUCUAGCUGGUUUGAGAGGAUGACCAGCCACACUGGAACUGAGACACGGUCCAGACUCCUACGGGAGGCAGCAGUGGGGAAUAUUGCACAAUGGGGGAAACCCUGAUGCAGCCAUGCCGCGUGUAUGAAGAAGGCCUUAGGGUUGUAAAGUACUUUCGGUAAUGAGGAAGGUAACUAUUAACAUAGUUAAUCGACGUUAAUUACAGAAGAAGCACCGGCUAACUCCGUGCCAGCAGCCGCGGUAAUACGGAGGGUGCGAGCGUUAAUCGGAAUGACUGGGCGUAAAGGGCAUGUAGGCGGAUGAUUAAGUUAGGUGUGAAAGCCCCGGGCUCAACCUGGGAAUUGCACUUAAACUGGUUAUCUAGAGUAU
This 633-nucleotide ribosomal RNA is filed under the name uncultured Enterobacteriaceae bacterium. RNAcentral's name for it is "bacterial SSU rRNA". It matches the Rfam family "Bacterial small subunit ribosomal RNA", at positions 1 to 649 of the family's 1533-position model. Lineage: Bacteria; Pseudomonadati; Pseudomonadota; Gammaproteobacteria; Enterobacterales; Enterobacteriaceae. The record is from RNAcentral.